UGAUGCAGCCAUGCCGCGUGUGUGAAGAAGGCCUUCGGGUUGUAAAGCACUUUCAGUCAGGAGGAAAGGUUAACGGUUAAUACCCGUUAGCUGUGACGUUACUGACAGAAGAAGCACCGGCUAACUCCGUGCCAGCAGCCGCGGUAAUACGGAGGGUGCGAGCGUUAAUCGGAAUUACUGGGCGUAAAGCGUACGCAGGCGGUUUGUUAAGCGAGAUGUGAAAGCCCCGGGCUCAACCUGGGAACUGCAUUUCGAACUGGCAAACUAGAGUGUGAUAGAGGGUGGUAGAAUUUCAGGUGUAGCGGUGAAAUGCGUAGAGAUCUGAAGGAAUACCGAUGGCGAAGGCAGCCACCUGGGUCAACACUGACGCUCAUGUACGAAAGCGUGGGGAGCAAACGGGAUUAGAUACCCCGGUAGUCCACGCCGUAAACGAUGUCUACUAGAAGCUCGGAGCCUCGGUUCUGUUUUUCAAAGCUAACGCAUUAAGUAGACCGCCUGGGGAGUACGGCCGCAAGGUUAAAACUCAAAUGAAUUGACGGGGGCCCGCACAAGCGGUGGAGCAUGUGGUUUAAUUCGAUGCAACGCGAAGAACCUUACCUACACUUGACAUACAGAGAACUUACCAGAGAUGGUUUGGUGCCUUCGGGAACUCUGAUACAGGUGCUGCAUGGCUGUCGUCAGCUCGUGUUGUGAGAUGUUGGGUUAAGUCCCGCAACGAGCGCAACCCCUAUCCUUAGUUGCUAGCAGGUAAUGCUGAGAACUCUAAGGAGACUGCCGGUGAUAAACCGGAGGAAGGUGGGGACGACGUCAAGUCAUCAUGGCCCUUACGUGUAGGGCUACACACGUGCUACAAUGGCGCAUACAGAGUGCUGCGAACUCGCGAGAGUAAGCGAAUCACUUAAAGUGCGUCGUAGUCCGGAUUGGAGUCUGCAACUCGACUCCAUGAAGUCGGAAUCGCUAGUAAUCGCGUAUCAGAAUGACGCGGUGAAUACGUUCCCGGGCCUUGUACACACCGCCCGUCACACCAUGGGAGUGGGUUGCUCCAGAAGUAGAUAGUCUAACCCUCGGGAGGACGUUUACCACGGAGUGAUUCAUGACUGGGGUGAAGUCGUAACAAGGUAGCCCUAGGGGAACCUGCGGCUGGAUCACCUCCA
Molecule: ribosomal RNA, 1154 nt
Filed under: Pseudoalteromonas sp. KJF3-5
Lineage: Bacteria; Pseudomonadati; Pseudomonadota; Gammaproteobacteria; Alteromonadales; Pseudoalteromonadaceae
Description: bacterial SSU rRNA
Rfam family: Bacterial small subunit ribosomal RNA
Source: RNAcentral